RNAcentral lists this ribosomal RNA (203 nucleotides) under uncultured bacterium. RNAcentral describes it as "partial 16S ribosomal RNA". It matches the Rfam family "Bacterial small subunit ribosomal RNA", at positions 130 to 334 of the family's 1533-position model. The record is from RNAcentral.
CCCAUACUCGGGGAUAGCCUUUCGAAAGAAAGAUUAAUAUCCGAUAGCAUAUAUUUCCCGCAUGGGUUUUAUAUUAAAGAAAUUCGGUAUGAGAUGGGGAUGCGUUCCAUUAGUUUGUUGGGGGGGUAACGGCCCACCAAGACUACGAUGGAUAGGGGUUCUGAGAGGAAGGUCCCCCACAUUGGAACUGAGACACGGUCCAA